This 433-nucleotide ribosomal RNA is filed under the name uncultured bacterium. RNAcentral describes it as "partial 16S ribosomal RNA". It matches the Rfam family "Bacterial small subunit ribosomal RNA", at positions 29 to 507 of the family's 1533-position model. The record is from RNAcentral.
AGCGAACGCUGGCGGCAGGCCUAACACAUGCAAGUCGAACGGACCCUUCGGGGUUAGUGGCGGACGGGUGAGUAACACGUGGGAACGUGCCUUUAGGUUCGGAAUAGCUCCUGGAAACGGGUGGUAAUGCCGAAUGUGCCCUUCGGGGGAAAGAUUUAUCGCCUUUAGAGCGGCCCGCGUCUGAUUAGCUAGUUGGUGAGGUAACGGCUCACCAAGGCGACGAUCAGUAGCUGGUCUGAGAGGAUGACCAGCCACACUGGGACUGAGACACGGCCCAGACUCCUACGGGAGGCAGCAGUGGGGAAUCUUGCGCAAUGGGCGAAAGCCUGACGCAGCCAUGCCGCGUGAAUGAUGAAGGUCUUAGGAUUGUAAAAUUCUUUCACCGGGGACGAUAAUGACGGUACCCGGAGAAGAAGCCCCAGCUAACUUCGUG